This 315-nucleotide long non-coding RNA is filed under the name Bos taurus (domestic cattle). Its description in RNAcentral is "long non-coding RNA NONBTAT008061". Lineage: Eukaryota; Metazoa; Chordata; Mammalia; Artiodactyla; Bovidae. The record is from RNAcentral.
AAAAAAAUGAUCUCUGAAGUCCUACCUUAUUUACUUGGAAUUUAUCUUGGCUUCUGGAGCAUUUUCUCAUAUAUAGAAGUUUUGAAACAGUAGAACUCUUUCUUAUAAUAUCCCUUGACUCAUAAGUCACAGGAGAACUAAUAACACUCUAAACGUUUCUAGAAAGUUUAAGGCGAUAUUCAUUCUCCAGCAUCAGGAGAUGAGCAUAUGGGUCCAGUGGGCUUUCGGAACCACCUCCUCACUGACAAGGAUGGAUUUUACUUCUAGCCAAGAAGAGAAUAGAGGGAGCUGACACAGGCUUUCUAUUUUUUACUC